Molecule: ribosomal RNA, 338 nt
Filed under: uncultured bacterium
Lineage: Bacteria
Description: bacterial SSU rRNA
Rfam family: Bacterial small subunit ribosomal RNA
Source: RNAcentral
AAGGGGACCUUCGGGCCUUGCGCUAUCAGAUGAGCUAGGUCGGAUUAGCUAGUUGGUGAGGUAAUGGCUCACCAAGGCGACGAUCCGUAACUGGUCUGAGAGGAUGAUCAGUCACACUGGAACUGAGACACGGUCCAGACUCCUACGGGAGGCAGCAGUGGGGAAUAUUGGACAAUGGGCGAAAGCCUGAUCCAGCCAUGACCGCGUGUGUGAAGAAGGUCUUCGGAAUUAGUAAACGCACUUUAAGUUGGGAGGAAGGGUUGUAGAUUAAUACUCUGCAAUUUGACGUUACCGACAGAAUAAGCCACCGGCUAACUCUGUGCCAGCAGCCGCGGUAA